AACGAACGCUGGCGGCAUGCCUAACACAUGCCAGUCGAACGAGACCUUCGGGUCUAGUGGCGCACGGGUGCGUAACGCGUGGGAACCUGCCCUUAGGUUCGGAAUAACUCCCCGAAAGGGGUGCUAAUACCGGAUAAUGUCUUCGGACCAAAGAUUUAUCGCCUUUGGAUGGGCCCGCGUUGGAUUAGCUAGUUGGUAGGGUAAAAGCCUGCCAAGGCGACGAUCCAUAGCUGGUCUGAGAGGAUGAUCAGCCACACUGGGACUGAGACACGGCCCAGACUCCUACGGGAGGCAGCAGUGGGGAAUAUUGGACAAUGGGCGAAAGCCUGAUCCAGCAAUGCCGCGUGAGUGAUGAAGGCCUUAGGGUUGUAAAGCUCUUUUACCCGGGAUGAUAAUGACAGUACCGGGAGAAUAAGCUCCGGCUAACUCCGUG
RNAcentral lists this ribosomal RNA (433 nucleotides) under uncultured bacterium. RNAcentral's name for it is "partial 16S ribosomal RNA". It matches the Rfam family "Bacterial small subunit ribosomal RNA", at positions 29 to 507 of the family's 1533-position model. The record is from RNAcentral.